AUUGAACGCUGGCGGCAGGCCUAACACAUGCAAGUCGAACGAGUGGCGGACGGGUGAGUAAUGUCUGGGAAACUGCCUGAUGGAGGGGGAUAACUACUGGAAACGGUAGCUAAUACCGCAUACCAUCGGAUGUGCCCAGAUGGGAUUAGCUUGUAGGUGGGGUAACGGCUCACCAAGGCGACGAUCCCUAGCUGGUCUGAGCGGAUGACCAGCCACUCUGGACCUGAGACACGGUCCAGACUCCUACGGUAGGCAGCAGUGGGGAAUAUUGCACAAUGGGCGCAGUCCUGAUGCAGCCAUGCCGCGUGUAUGAAGAAGGCCUUCGGGUUGUAAAGUACUUUCAGCGGGGAGGCGUUACCCGCAGAAGAAGCACCGGCUAACUCCGUGCCAGCAGCCGCGGUAAUUC
RNAcentral lists this ribosomal RNA (406 nucleotides) under uncultured bacterium. RNAcentral's name for it is "partial 16S ribosomal RNA". It matches the Rfam family "Bacterial small subunit ribosomal RNA", at positions 30 to 526 of the family's 1533-position model. The record is from RNAcentral.